Long non-coding RNA from Capsicum annuum, 2726 nucleotides. RefSeq lists it as uncharacterized. The record is from RefSeq and is a predicted model, not a curated record. The transcript is spliced from 4 exons. NCBI's taxonomy places the organism in Eukaryota, Viridiplantae, Streptophyta, Magnoliopsida, Solanales, Solanaceae.
UGAAAAAAAAUGGAAAAAAAAUUCAAAAAAAAAAAGAAAAAAAAAAUUAUGGCCAAACAGCCCUUAAUAUCUCCAAUUUUAAUCUAACCCACCGAUUUGACACCCCUCAUCAAACCACAUCUAAACAUGUUAAAAUUAAGCCAAAUCAUAAAUCACGUUUAGUAUAAUAUUUAUGCUAGUGGUCAGGACAUUGGACUCUGAAUCCAGUAACCCGAGUUCAAACCUCGGUGGAUCCUUUUUUUGGUUUCUGUUAAUGAGGGAGUAAUCCUAAUCAGCUCAUUAGUCUAGUUCCAUCCGGCAUCCGCCAUUAAUCCUAAUCCCUAAUCAUUUUAUUAAUCCAGUUUUACUUCCUUCACUUCACACUGUGCACAUUAUUUGUACACAACAAUGGUUAUGGACCUACAGCUUUCAGAACCCAACCGCUGAAAAAUCCGCCAAGCAUUCUUAGAUAUACUUCAAACUGCAGAUGGGAGUUUUGUUGAUUCCAAUGAGAAUAAUGGUCCAGUUAUUUGUGAGAUAAAUUGACUCCCACAAAAAAGAAGAAAUCGGAGAUCAACUCCCGCUGAUGCUAGUAAAAUCAAAAGAGCUAGGACACUAACACCUAGCAAAAUAACAAUCCAAGACUUCCCUAGAUGACCUGCUGAACAAGGGAGAAUAUGAGUCGAAAAUGAAUCUGCAACUCAAAGUCAGCAGGAAACAGAGUCUAAUGACAGGAACGAGGGCUCAAGCAUAUCAGGUAGAAAAAAUAGUAGAAACAAGAUUUGGAUAUGGUCAAGAUGGAAAUGAUAUGUAUUCUAAUGAGAAACCCAAGAAAGAACCGAAGAUAGAGAUCAUGAUCAUGAUACAUAUUCUAAAAACAAAUCUACCCGAGAAGGAACCAUUGAUGCGUAUCAACAUCAUAAUGAUAACACCACAUCAGUUGAAAAGUCAACGACUGCCUUUGAACAAAGAAACAAACAUGCACAUGAUCAGGAUGCGGAGUCUUCUACUGCCGAAUCGUCUGGUACUGACAGUGAUCCCAAUAGACCUUGCAUCAAUACUGUCGUUAGAAGCAUUAGUAUUAAGAAGUACGACGUGAAGAUGCCGUUGGAUGAACACAAAAAUCUGUGUGUUGAGGUUAUUGUGAAAUCAGGUAUGGGGAAGUCAUGGAAUGAGUUUAGGAAGAUACUUAGGGAACAAAAGUUGGAGAAAUUCUUUCGGUCAAGUUGUUCGGGUCACUUUCUAAACCUGCCUGAUAAUAUUGUUGCACGAUUUCAAAUGACUGUGGUGAGUAAUCUUCUGCUUCGCAGGGUGAUUUGUAAGAAAAAAGAGGAGGUCUGGGUAAACUAUUGUGGCAUGCUGGUUUGUUUUGGCAUGAAGGAGUUUGUCUUGGUAACUGGAUUGAGAUGUCAUCCUCUUCCUGUCACUAUUAGAGUUGGAGAAGUCUAAAAAAUGAGGGUAAAGAGUUGGUAGACUUUGUGGGGAAGAGCUUUAAGUAAAAAGUUUGCUAACCUUAUUGACUUCUGAAUCAGUCUCAUCUCAAGAGAUUACAAGAAGUCACUCUGCUUAGUUUGGUUUGUGCACAAUAUUCUUUGUGCAAGAGAUGUUAACAAGAAUGUUGAAAAGGAUUGGGUUAUACUGUCAGCCAACAAAGAGGCAUUUCAAUGCAUUUCCAUGGGGUAGAGAAAGCUUUAAGCUCACUAUUGAGUAUCUCCCGAGAGAGAUGAAGCCAAGGGUAAUAAAGACCAUCAACCUCUAUGGUUUUCCAUGGUCUUUCAUGCAUUUGAAGCCAUUCUUCACCUCCGCCAUCAAGUUAAGGACUUCUCAGAGGACGUGUCUUGUCCACGGAUCCUUAGAUGGCUGGCCGCGAGAUCCAACAAUCCUGAUGUUGAUCUGUUUCAACCCCCUAGGACGCGAUUGUGCACCCUGUUUUAGUUCCUAAAAAAAAAAAGUGUUCAAGAUGGAAAAUAUUAUCAAUUUUGUGCCCUUGGAAUCUUGAAACGACGAACUUAUUGAAUUAAAAAAGUGAUUUGACUGGAGCCACAAAACAUCAAUAGGAAUUGGUCUAGGGCUCUUGAGAGUGAUGCUAGGAGGAACGAUGGUGAUAAUGUUUAUAAAGCAAUUGAUGAUAUUGUGGCAAGUGUUGUUGCUGGUUAAACGAAAAAUAACGAUGAACACAAUGUUGUAAGAAGUUAUGGUGGUGAUGGUAGUGAUUUCAGUGGAGAUACUCCAUUUGGAGUUGGUGGACACGCAGCAGAAACUCCUUUCCAGUUGGCUGGGUGUUCAUCUAUUGGGGUGGUACUUCCAAGGUGCCAUCUUGUUCUUGUGAAUGUCACAAGUGCAAAGAGAAUAUGAAGAAGUUGACAGAGAAAAUUGACCCUUUGACCAAAAGUGUUUUCUCUCUUUGGUGAAGGCAUCAGAAAGCUAAGAGGCCUUGAUUAAAAAGUUCAUAUCUAAAAGAGGUAUCUGGCUAUCUUCGUAGAUAUCAUCUCCUUUCAUUCCUAGCUUUAUAAAGAGGAAAGCACAACAAAUUUCGAAGGGCAGUUGGGCAUGUCAAAGAGAAGACAACUAAUACUCCAAAGAAGCACGCAGAUGAUAAAGAAUUGGAGCGCCCUAAGUUGGGUUGAUGAAACAUUUGAACAAUUUAUGUUUAUGUUUAUGUUUUUGUUAAACAAUUUAUAUUUCUAUUAUGUCUAUAUUUGCUAUAUUUAGUGGAUCUGUGUUCAAUAUAUUCUAUGUUUGGUAAA